UCCCGAGUGUCCCGCAGUGUCCCGAGCUGGUGUACCGAGUGUCCCCGAGUGUCUCAAGCUGGUGUCCCGAGUGUCCCCGAGGGUCACGAGCUGGUGUUCCGAGUGUCCCCGAGCGUCACGAGCUGGUGCCCCGGGCUGGGGUGCAGCUGGGGAGAAAGCACCACGGAGUGCUCGGCUCUGCGGUGCCCGAAAGUCCCCAGCCCUGCAGGCGUGAAAACCUAGGCUCGCCUGUUGCUUUUGAGCUCUGCUGAAGUCCGCUAGUCGCCCCCCGCCUCUGCUCUGUUAUUGUUUCGCCUGAAUCCUGAAUCUUAUUUUCCUCCAAUAUCGAACAAUUAGCAUUUAGGAAACACUCACCUGUACGUCCGAACCGCCCAGCGAGUGUUAAAAUUUUUGGUCGUUUGACCAACGAAAAAAUACCAGUAUAAAUCGGUAACACUUUAAUGAAACCCCGGCUUUGUUUUGCGUUUGAGCCCUAGAAGAAAUUGCCUCUCUGUUCUGUUGACAAGGCACUAUCCAUUUGCUGAAUUGGAAGAGAGUCCUGAAAGUGAGUUUUCAGCAUAAUCUUUUUAGAUGGGUUCAUUAAGCCUCGAAGACUCAAGGCUCCACUAAUCUUAAAGCUAAGAAUGAUAUAACAUCUGGACAUUACAGAAGAGGUUUCCCAGCCCAGAGCCUCUGGUGCCCCCUCUGCAGUGGACACGUCAUUCAAGACAAAGGAAAUUCCUGCCCCUGGCCAAAGGCAUCACAUUCAUAUUAAGUUUUGAAUAAACUUUCUUUUAAAUUUCUUUAUUGUUUUUAUGUCAAUGCUAUUUCUGGAAAGAUGGAAAGAUACAGGCUUGUGGAUGAAUAAUUUAUAAACAAGUAGUCAAAACUUGUGGUGAAUUAGGGUGCGGAUUCAAAAAGCACAGAACAAAGAGGCUUAUUUUCCCCUCUUUGGCUCAAAUGCAAAUCAAAGCCAGAGUUUCAGUAAAGUGCCCCUGACUGACACUGCAGCUGUUUUCCGUUUGUCGAGUGACCAAAGAGUGUAGCAAAGCAGUAGAACCUGUCUGAGACGGAAGUUGGUACCAGGAGUCAUCGCUGUGACAGACCUGACCGUGCAGCUUGUGGGUAGAAUGUGGACUUUGGGACUUAGGACAAGAAAAACACUUUAAGCAGGGCUUCCUGGCAAACAGUGGUGCUGAGAGCCGUGUCCAUUCUGACUGCCUGGCGCAAGAGGUUUCAGAGGAGAAUGCUACAAAGUGGCACAGAGAGUGUUGGUGAAGAUGCAGCUGCUCUCUGCCUUUGUCUGAGAAAUCUAUCCAAGACAAAAUUGAAGAACUUUGUAUUAAUGGCAUUGGAAGAGGAGAAUUCAAGACGGCUUAGUUUGUGUGGUCAUCGAGGCGUGGUGCAGGUGGAUAAUGAAGAGGAGCGAGCUGAGCGAGGAAAAAUACAAAAUGUAUCAUUGGGAAGUGUAACGGAUCUAAAUACAAUGCUCAAAGAGAUUUUUUAAAAAAAAGGUUGAAGCAAAGCCGGAUGUUAAAUGGAGUAAUGGGAAUGGCGUGGCGAUUCUCCUGCAGGCUUUUCAGCUCGCUGGGAAAAAAUGAUCAAGAGAUAGGAAUGAAACCUGACUCAGCCCGAUUUUCUUGUAACCAAUGCUGGACAAGGACUUCAAGAGUCUGGCCGAGAUCAUUUCACUUUAGCCAUAUUUAAGCACAGCACAAUUUUGAAAAAAGUAAUCAGAUAGCAACUGAUUCAGCCCCAAGUAUACAGCAAUUUAAGACAUGUUAGCGUUGAGAUUCCUUACAAAGAACAACUGACUUCUUGGGUACUGUUGAUUCAGGGAUAGUGCCCAAGGUUUAGGGUCUAGGGAGUUUGAAUGAGGUAAGCAUAAUGGGUUUUAUGGUCUAAAACUAAUGCUCAAGAUUUAGGGGACAAGGUCUUGAAUAAGCAUAAAACAUAAAUUCUGGGUGAUACAGUAGAACUUGUCUCAUCAGACAGCAAAGGAUCACCAGGUUGUAAAACAACAUCAUUCCUAGUAUUCCAGGAAGAGCAGCUUUACACCUCACUCCUUUGAAGAAGUAAGCUGUGUGCUUAAUUUUCCUGUUUUCUCCAGUGCUUAUCUGAGCACACACGGCUCUUCACUCUCUACAUCGGGACAGGACUCCACCCAGCUGGACUUCCAACUUGUAAAAUGGAACUUUAAAAAAAGCUCAAGUUGUGAAGGAAACCAUCAGAACCAGGAGGUUAAUGAAAUGUAUUUGAACGGGGUGGGGUGGGGGGGACAGGUGAAGAAAAGCAGAAGACCUUGGCAGCUUUGAAUACAAGAAAGGGCUUGUAGCAUUCCCCUCUGAGGCUAAGGAAAGCUGCUGAGGCCAGACAUUCAGGCAAUGUCUCUGAAUGGAGGCAUAGUAGAGACACAAUUGUGUGAAGUUGUGAAGUUGAAGCCUGGAUUGCCUUGCAGACCCCGAGAUAUUGGAGAUGCCAGAGUCUUGGAAUCCUUGCCAAGGAGAGCUGCUAACAGGGUGUUGAAGCAGCUCAAGAGAGAGCCAAUAUCCUUGUACCUACAUUCUGGAUGAGGAGACAGAACUCAUGACUCCUAGAAGCCUGUUCAUGGGCUGGGGAGAUGGCUUGGCAGCCCAGAGUGCCUAUUGUGCAAACAUGAAGUCUGGAGUUCUGAUUCCAGCACUGAUGCAACAAAAAAGAAGUUUUUCUUAUAAAUGCCUGGAACCCCAGCUCUGAGGAGGGCCGGACGGGACCUCUGGAGCUUCCUGCUUCCACCCUGGCUGGACACACUAACCCCAGGUUCUGCCUCAGAGGAGCAGGUGAGACUGACGGCCGAAGAGACCCAGCACCCUCUCCUGGCACACACUGGCCCUUCUCCAUCCUUGCCCCUUGACUCAUUUGUAUUCACUAUCCUACUUUUAAAAGCAACUUCCUUGUUUAUGGGUACGAAAUUAGUAUCCUACACAUUGUAUGGUUUGUUAAAAGUCAAUAUCACAUUUAUUGUUAUUUGGGAAUUGAUGUAUGCUCCACCUGACAUAAAUCUCCCGCAGUGAAGUGUUCAGUUUGGUGGAUUGGGGUACUUUCUCAAGGAUGAGCACACAGGGUCAAUAUCCAACUCCAGAACACUUUCUCCACCCUGAUGAGACCCUGCAACCACUACCAUUCACUUCCUGAUCUUUUCCCAGCAGCCCUGGCAACCACCAAUCUAUUUCCUGUUGCUAUGGAUUUUCCUGUCCUCCACAUUUCACAUACAUUGAAUUAAAAUGUGGCUAUGUGCCUGGCUCUUUGCCCUGUGUAUAAUUUUUUCAAGCUCAUCUAUGUCAUAUAGCAUAUGCUUUUUAAGCAUUUCAUUCCAUUUACGAUGGCCAAAUAAUAAUCUACCAAAUGUAUAUGAUCACAUUUUGUUUAUGCAGUCUCAAUGGCUGGUCACUUGUGUUAUUUCUCCAUCUGGGCAGUAUAAAUGAUUUUAUAGCAAACAUUCUGGGCAAGUUUACAAGACUAUGCAUUGCUAUUCUCUUGGAUACGUGCGCAAGAGCAAGAUUGCUGGCUCAUAGAGUCACUCUCUGGUUAACUUUGUGAUGAGCUGCCAAAUGGUUUGCCCAAGCAGCUGCACCCUUUUCUACCCUCACUAGCAUAGGCUUAAUACUCACAGGCUUAAUUCUGUAAAUUGAGAUUUUUUUCCCCCCAAAAUCACUUUGAAGACAAAAGUAUUUCAAUUUCCUUGUCAACCGUCAUUAUUCUGGAGUGCUUUCUAUCCCAUUUCUUUCUUCUCCUAACAAUUCAUCUAUUAAUAAAACUAAGCUGUUUGACCUGUAUAUUUCCCCACACUUGGCUUUUGCUGGGUGUGUGUACAAUGAACACUAAAACAUUACCUCUCUUAUGCAAAUUGGUGGCUGUUUCCACAAACUGGCUCACUCUAGAGUUGGUUCAUUUGACAAGUAGAAGAUUUGAGGUGGCAACACAGGUGUGGUGGUGCCACAUGCGUGUAACUCCAGAACUGGGGAGGUGAAGACGGGAGGAUCUCCAAAAGUUUAAGACAAGUCCGGGGUACACACUGAGACUCUGUCUCAGAGAGGGGUGGUGUGGGAGAACGGGAGAAUGUCAGUCCAGGGAGGUAAUUCAGUGGGUAGUGCUGCUUGCUGCUCGGCCUCCGGACCUGAGUUCCUCAGUGCUAAGAGAGAACUAACUCCUGCGAGUUGUUUGACCUUCACCUUGUGCACACCCACCAUAACAAAUAAACAAACGGGUGGAGUUUGAAGAGAAAGAGGCACAUCGUUUCUUAUAUUCUAUGGUGGUCCUUUUGGGUUUUGACACUGUCUCUUUUGUAAUGUCAGCUGAGUGUACACUCGCCAGUGGUAGCUGGGGUCUAAGCUGGGUGUUUCCAAGUUCCCGAAUGAGAUAAAAGCCCACAGAGAGAACGAAAUACCCAGGAAACUUUAUUCAAAGCCAAGUUAAAGUUCAGGUCCAAAAGUACGCACCAGGGGAGCAGAGAGCAGUGGGCCCAUAGAUGACAAAGCUUUCUAGGGCUUCGUUAUCAUCUGGGGCCUUUUCUAUGGGGUUCAGGGCAAGAGGUGUUUGAUUACAAGGAGUGAAAUUUAGGUGGUUCUCUAUGUUAAUGGACAGACUGGGGUUACAGCAGGAGUCCACGCAGCUCUGUGCAGGUGCGGCUCCUAACAGCUCGUGACGUUGCCAGUAUAUGCAGGUAAAGGGUCUCAGGCUGCCAAGCACACGGUUAGAUGAGGAAUGUGUGUACAGUCAAAGCCCAACAUGCUAGACUAUUUCUUACGCUUGCCUGUCUCAGCCUUCAAUCUGCAGUGGUUCUCCUGUCCUCCUGCCCCUUCCUCCACGGUGUUGGGAUUAUAGGAGUGCACCAGCAAGUCAGGCCUUGGUGGUUUCAUAUGAUACGAAGUGACUUCAGACAUCAGCAGCUAUUGGUGCUCCCUGUCCAGGUGUAUUGGUCCACUGGGGAUUACAAAAUGACAAUAUUCAAAGUCUAGCCUCUGAUUUCACUUAUUGGCUGGAAUAGUUUGGUAACUGCAGUGUGGUGGGAUAUUUGUACACUGUGUGAAGGUGCUGUGAUUGGUGUACUGAAAGGCUGAAUGACCAGUAAGUAGCCAGGCAGGAAGGUGUAGGCAGGAUUUGCGGACAGAGAGAAGAAGGAGGAGGAGGAAUCCAGGCAUGUGAGAGAGACACGAGGAAUCACGUAAGAAGCACGAUGGGCAAUACGUGACAAAAUGUAGAUUAAUGGAAAAGGGUGAAGUUAUAAGAGCUUGUUAAAAUCAACUCUGAGUUAAGGCCAAAGUUUCAUAAUUGAUAACUCUCUGUGUCAUUAUUUGUGAGCUGGUGGCCCAAAGAAAAAUCCAACUACAUUAGGAUAGGGUUUAUUCCUGAGAGGACAAGUAGACAAUCAAUUUCUGUUUGUCAGUUUUCCAAGACUCUUAACUACUUUUUUAAAAUCACCUUU
Non-coding RNA from Myodes glareolus (Bank vole), 5443 nucleotides. NCBI's taxonomy places the organism in Eukaryota, Metazoa, Chordata, Mammalia, Rodentia, Cricetidae. The record is from RefSeq and is a predicted model, not a curated record.